GGCCUGAUGGUCUAGUAGUAUGAUUCCUUGUUAGGGCUGAGCAAGCAAUUUCGAGGAGGUCCCGGGUUCAAUUCCCGGUCAGGCCC
This 86-nucleotide transfer RNA is filed under the name Macrolepiota fuliginosa MF-IS2. RNAcentral describes it as "tRNA-Pro". It matches the Rfam family "tRNA". Rfam says of the family: Transfer RNA (tRNA) molecules are approximately 80 nucleotides in length. Lineage: Eukaryota; Fungi; Basidiomycota; Agaricomycetes; Agaricales; Agaricaceae. The record is from RNAcentral.